GAUAUUUUGUAGUUAUAACUCAGAUAUGAGCAUUGAAAAGUGGUAAUGACUAAAAGAAAUUAAAUAGAAGGUUGUAGUUGGGUUAGGAGGAGGUGGCAUUAUAAGCUUAUUAACCUUCCACUAAGCAAGCUCAAGCAUGUGCUGGAGAAAAGCUAAGUUAGCUAAGUAUGAUAAAUAAUUGAUGAUGUCUGAUAUGAGAGGAAGGUUCAGAGAAUUUUUAUGAAUUUAUUCUUAGCCUCUUCUCUAUUAUCCCCAUCCAUUCCAUUCUUCAUUUCCUCUUUACUUACGAAACCCCAAAGAACACAAAAGUUGUCAAAAUCUUUAGACCUCAACGAAUUUGACAACGAACUGAAGCUGGUACAUGAAAUUGGAGAAGAUUUGAGGCAAGACCAACUUAAAGAAAGAAGUAUAUUCAAUCAAUUUCAUGCUUGAAUCACGAAUUUGGUGGUUUCUUUAAGCAAGUAAGGUAAAGAUACUUAUUUAUAUUAUAAAAAAAUUGAAAGAAUAUAUGUGUGAAUAUCAAUGAGAAUAUUCUGUUUGGGUUGUAAAUUGAUAAAAGGGGAUGUUGUGUACUUUGUGCGGAGCGAUAAGGCCGAAAAUUUUGGGCUAGACUCCAUCCAAAUAGCUAUGAACUCUGUUUCUUAAAGUGGUGCACUAAGCGUGUUUGAUAAAAUGCCUCUUAGAUGUUGUCAAGCUUUAAAAGUGAAAAUUUGUUAAUGUUAUGAACAAGAUAACUUUUGUAUAUCAAAUUUGAUGUUACCUAGGUGGUUUAGCUGAAUUAAAAAGGGCUUAGAAGCAAGUUUAUGAAAGUUUAACAAUUUUGCUUUAAUAGGAAAUCUGAUGCAUCUGGGCAGUUUCAUGUCUUGCAAGUGAAGCUUAGAAUGUUUUUUUAAAUAUGUUAUAUUUUUAUAAAAUAGUAUGUAGUACCAUAAAGAACAUAUUUCAAUUUGAAAGCAAUUGGAUGAAAGGGUUGCAAGAUAUAAAAUUUCGAAAUGGCCUAGUUGGAUUGCUACAGCAGCAGCAGCAGUAACUGGGCACGCACACCGGCUACUGGAUGUCAGUUGCGCUGCCUUAUGUCAUGCAGAUUGUGCAAAUUUAAAGACAUUAAAUUGUACUGUAUUGUGUUUCGUGGUCUAUUUGGUGAAACGAAAUAGGAUGUAUAUUGAUGGUAUAUAAGAUUCAGUUCUAGAAUUUACAUCUUAAUGCUUUGUAUGGGAUAUUCCUUCUCUGUUAAGGUAAUGUAUCCUUUAUCUAAGAUAGGGGCAUUGUGAUGAUUUAUGAAACCUUUUAAAAGAGUAAUAUGACUUUAAACCCAUUAUGACUAUUCAUAUAUCUUAUGUUCCUGAUAAGGAAAUUGGUGGGUUGAUGGGAUGAUGAAGUUUGUGUGUAAUGCAUCCGGGCCAAACCUUAACAUAAUGAAUAUAUAUUAAGGUUGGUAUACUGUAAUAUAUAUAUUAGGUUACUACAAUGUGGUGUUAUUAUUAAUUAUAUUUCUGAACUCAAAUCUGAUACCUAAUAUUUUAAUGGUAUCGUAUAUUAUAAUAAUGGUAUCGUAAUAUGAGUUAUAACAUGAGUCAAAUCAAACUUGAAGUGUUAAGCAUCAAUGUUACACUUGAUAAUGCUUUAAGGCAGUGCUAAAGGAAAGCAUUUUAUCACAAAUUUUGAUUAGUUCGUAUUUGUAGUGGUAGAGUAACUUACAAUCUUUAUAUAUCCAUCAUAGUUUAUUGCGAUGGUAUAUGAAUUAAUGGGGAUCAAGCAAUCCGUAAGUGAUUCAACAAUUAUAGUGAUCAUGUGAUUAUACUAAUAAAGACAUUAUGAAUGACAUGGAUAUUCAUAGCAACAACAGAUAUAGUUGAUACGAGUUUAAUUGUAGUUCGUGGAUAAAGUAUACAUUAAGUUGUGUACCUUAUGUAUGUUAUAUAGGUGCUAUAUGAAGUCAUAACGCUUCAAUUUCACGAGAGCGAUUAGAACCGGUAGCAUUUUCGCAGAAAAGGCAAGUUUUUCAGUUCUAUUAUGUUUGUG
This 2022-nucleotide long non-coding RNA is filed under the name Panax ginseng (ginseng). RNAcentral describes it as "long non-coding RNA (PGIN_LNC002555)". Lineage: Eukaryota; Viridiplantae; Streptophyta; Magnoliopsida; Apiales; Araliaceae. The record is from RNAcentral.